Molecule: unclassified non-coding RNA, 300 nt
Organism: Callithrix jacchus (white-tufted-ear marmoset)
Lineage: Eukaryota; Metazoa; Chordata; Mammalia; Primates; Cebidae
Rfam family: Metazoan signal recognition particle RNA
About the family: The signal recognition particle (SRP) is a universally conserved ribonucleoprotein. It is involved in the co-translational targeting of proteins to membranes.
Source: Ensembl
GCCGGGCGCAGUGGCGCGUGCCUGUAGUCCCAGCUAUUCGGGAGGCUGUGGCUGGAGGAUCUCUUGAAUCCAGGAGUUCUGGGCUGUGGUGCGCUAUGCCGGUCCGGUGUCCGCACUAAGUUUGGCAUCAAUAUGGUGACCUCCCGGGAGCAGGGGACCACCACGUUGCCUAAGGAGGAGUGAACCAGCUCAGGUCGGAAACGGAGCAGGUCAAAACUCCCGUGCUGAUCAGCAGCGGGAUCGCGCCUGUGAAUAGCCACUGCACUCCAACCUGGGCAACAUAGCGAGACCCCGUCUCUU